GUCUUUUUGUGUUGGAUAUAAAGUAUAACCUGCCCAUUGAAAUUAUUUUAAAGGCUGCGGUAUAUUGACCGUACAAAGGUAGCAUAAUCAUUAGUUCUUUAAUUGAGAACUCGUAUGAAUGGUUGAAUGAGGAAUAAACUUUUUUAGAAAAAGAAUUGAAUUUUACAUUUUAAUUAAAAGGUUAAAAUGAAUUUAAAAGACGAGAAGACCCUAUAGAGUUUGAUAAUUUAUUAAAAUUUUUUAAAAAAAAUUAGUAAGUGUUUUAUUUUAAUAAAUUAUUUUAUUGGGGUGAUAGUAAAAUUUUAUAAACUUUUAUUUUUUUUUUACAUUAAUAUAUGAUUAAUUGAUCCAUUAUUAAUGAUUAAAAGUUUAAAUUACCUUAGGGAUAACAGCGUAAUUUUUUUUUUAAGUUCAUAUUAAUAAAAAAUUUUGCGACCUCGAUGUUGGAUUAAGAUUUAAUUUUAGGUGCAGAAGUUUAAAAUUAGAGUCUGUUCGACUUUUAAAUUCUU
RNAcentral lists this ribosomal RNA (509 nucleotides) under Pseudolycoriella zealandica. RNAcentral describes it as "partial large subunit ribosomal RNA". The record is from RNAcentral. Lineage: Eukaryota; Metazoa; Arthropoda; Insecta; Diptera; Sciaridae.